Molecule: transfer RNA, 689 nt
Filed under: Vibrio cholerae
Lineage: Bacteria; Pseudomonadati; Pseudomonadota; Gammaproteobacteria; Vibrionales; Vibrionaceae
Description: partial 16S-23S ribosomal RNA intergenic spacer
Rfam family: tRNA (bases 164-235)
Source: RNAcentral
CACGAUGGUUAUCGUGAUGAGUGUCCACACAGAUUGAUUCGGUUUAGAUUAGAGAAGAGUAUCUUAGUGUCCCGUUCGUCUAGAGGCCUAGGACACCGCCCUUUCACGGCGGUAACAGGGGUUCGACUCCCCUACGGGAUACCACUUCCCUUGAGAAGUUAAUGGGUCGUUAGCUCAGUGGUAGAGCAGUGGGCUUUUAACCAAUUGGUCAUAGGUUCAAAUCCUAUACGACCCACCAUUUCCUUCCUCCACAGGAAGUAAAACAUGUGGGCGAUUAGCUCAGUUGGGAGAGCACCUGCCUUACAAGCAGGGGGUCACUGGUUCGAACCCGGUAUCGCCCACCACUCUUUAAGCAUUUUUGGAAUACAUUUCCAAACCACCCAACACUGCGUGGUUCAGAUUUUUGCCGCCGAAAGUCCUUAAAAGUGGCUCUUAGUGAUAAAAUUACUUUGCUCUUUACAAUUUGGAAGCUGACAAACAACAAUUUUUGUUGUUUGUAAAGUUUGUAAAGUUCUCAAUGUUUAUCGAAAGAUAAACACCAACAACACAUUCAAGUGUGCUUGGUAUCGAAUAAGACUUCGGUCUUGUUCAAAUUUGAGUCCGGCAAAAUCUGUCUCGCACUCAUGUAAAUUAAACGCGAGACAACUUAGGUUGUUUAAACAGCAACCCGAAACUCCUUCGGGUUGUAU